RNAcentral lists this long non-coding RNA (199 nucleotides) under Elaeis guineensis (African oil palm). Its description in RNAcentral is "long non-coding RNA (EGUI_LNC061439)". The record is from RNAcentral. Lineage: Eukaryota; Viridiplantae; Streptophyta; Magnoliopsida; Arecales; Arecaceae.
UAUGUCUUAUGAAACAUAAAUUCAAAGUCUUUAAUAAAUUUAAAGAGUGUCAAAGUAUGGUCAAGAAGAAAACUAGAAAGUAUAUUAAAAUCUUUUGAUCUGAUCGAGGAGGUGAAUAUCUUUCUGGUAAAUUUUUGGAUCAACUUAAAGAAAAAGAUAUUCUCUCUAAGUGGACCCCUCCAUAUACACCAUAGCUAAA